This is a long non-coding RNA of Astyanax mexicanus (Mexican tetra), 2868 nucleotides long. RefSeq lists it as uncharacterized. The transcript is spliced from 2 exons. The record is from RefSeq and is a predicted model, not a curated record. NCBI's taxonomy places the organism in Eukaryota, Metazoa, Chordata, Actinopteri, Characiformes, Acestrorhamphidae.
CUAGGCGGUUGCUAUGGUAUCCAGGGUGGUUGCUAAGGUGUUGCUAGGUGGUUGCUAAGGUGUUGCUAGGUGGUUGCUAUGGUGUUGCUAUGGUAUCCGGGGUGGUUGCUAAGGUGUUGCUAGGUGGUUGCUAAGGUGUUGCUAUGGUAUCCUGGGUGGUUGCUAAGGUGUUGCUAGGUGGUUGCUAGGCAGUUGCUAAGGUGUUGCUAUGGUAUCCUGGGUGGUUGCUAAGGUGUUUCUAGGUGGUUGCUAAGGUGUUGCUAGGUGGUUGCUAAGGUGUUGCUAUGGUAUCCGGGGUGGUUGCUAAGGUGUUGCUAGGUGGUUGCUAGGCGGUUGCUUAAGUGUUGCUAUGGUAUCCGGGGUGGAUGCUAUGGUGUGGUUGCUAAGGUGUUGCUAGGUGGUUGCUAAGGUGUUGCUAUGGUAUCCAGGGUGGUUGCUAGGUGGUUGCUAAGGUGUUGCUAUGGUAUCCUGGGUGGUUGCUAAGGUGUUUCUAGGUGGUUGCUAAGGUGUUGCUAGGUGGUUGCUAAGGUGUUGCUAUGGUAUCCAGGGUGGUUGCUAAGGUGUUGCUAGGUGGUUGCUAGGUGGUUGCUAGGGUGUUGCUAGGUGGUUGCUAAGGUGUUGCUAGGUGGUUGCUAGGUGGUUGCUAAGGUGUUGCUAUGGUAUCCAGGGUGGUUGCUAAGGUGUUGCUAGGUGGUUGCUAAGGUGUUGCUAUGGUAUCCGGGGUGGUUGCUAAGGUGUUGCUAGGUGGUUGCAAGGUGGUUGCUAAGGUGUUGCUAGGCGGUUGCUAAGGUGUUGCUAUGGUGUCUAGGGUGGUUGCUAAGGUGUUGCUAGGUGGUUGCUAAGAUGUUGCUAUGGUAUCCGGGGUGGUUGCUAAGGUGUUGCUAGGUGGUUGCUUAGGUGUUGCUAUGGUAUCCGGGGUGGUUGCUACGGUGUUUCUAAGUGGUUGCUAAGGUGUUGCUAGGUGGUUGCUAAGGUGUUGCUAUGGUAUCCAGGGUGGUUGCUAAGGUGUUGCUAGGUGGUUGCUAAGGUGUUGCUAGGUGGUUGCUAAGGUGUUGCUAUGGUAUCCAGGGUGGUUGCUGAGGUGUUGCUAGGUGGUUGCUAGGUGGUUGCUAGGGUGUUGCUAGGUGGUUGCUAAGGUGUUGCUAGGUGGUUGCUAAGGUGUUGCUAUGGUAUCCAGGGUGGUUGCUAAGGUGUUGCUAGGUGGUUGCUAGGUGGUUGCUAGGGUGUUGCUAGGUGGUUGCUAAGGUGUUGCUAUGGUAUCCAGGGUGGUUGCUAAGGUGUUGCUAGGUGGUUGCUAAGGUGUUGCUAGGUGGUUGCUAAGGUGUUGCUAUGGUAUCCAGGGUGGUUGCUAAGGUGUUGCUAGGUGGUUGCUAGGUGGUUGCUAGGGUGUUGCUAGGUGGUUGCUAAGGUGUUGCUAGGUGGUUGCUAAGGUGUUGCUAUGGUAUCCAGGGUGGUUGCUAAGGUGUUGCUAGGUGGUUGCUAGGUGGUUGCUAGGGUGUUGCUAGGUGGUUGCUAAGGUGUUGCUAUGGUAUCCAGGGUGGUUGCUGAGGUGUUGCUAGGUGGUUGCUAGGGUGUUGCUAGGUGGUUGCUAAGGUGUUGCUAGGUGGUUGCUAAGGUGUUGCUAUGGUAUCCAGGGUGGUUGCUAAGGUGUUGCUAGGUGGUUGCUAGGUGGUUGCUAGGGUGUUGCUAGGUGGUUGCUAAGGUGUUGCUAUGGUAUCCAGGGUGGUUGCUAAGGUGUUGCUAGGUGGUUGCUAAGGUGUUGCUAGGUGGUUGCUAAGGUGUUGCUAUGGUAUCCAGGGUGGUUGCUAAGGUGUUGCUAGGUGGUUGCUAGGUGGUUGCUAGGGUGUUGCUAGGUGGUUGCUAAGGUGUUGCUAGGUGGUUGCUAAGGUGUUGCUAUGGUAUCCAGGGUGGUUGCUAAGGUGUUGCUAGGUGGUUGCUAGGUGGUUGCUAGGGUGUUGCUAGGUGGUUGCUAGGUGGUUGCUAAGGUGUUGCUAUGGUAUCCAGGGUGGUUGCUAAGGUGUUGCUAGGUUGUUGCUAAGGUGUUGCUAGGUGGUUGCUAAGGUGUUGCUAUGGUAUCCGCGGUGGUUGCUAAGGUGUUCCUAGGUGGUUGCAAGGUGGUUGCUAAGGUGUUGCUAGGUGGUUGCUAGGGUGUUGCUAGGUGGUUGCUAAGGUUUUGCUAGGUGGUUGCUAAGGUGUUGCUAUGGUAUCCAGGGUGGUUGCUAAGGUGUUGCUAGGUGGUUGCUAAGGUGUUGCUAUGGUAUCCGGGGUGGUUGCUAAGGUGUUGCUAGGUGGUUGCUAAGGUGUUGCUAGGCGGUUGCUAAGGUGUUGCUAUGGUGUCUGGGGUGGUUGCUAAGGUGUUGCUAGGUGGUUGCUAAGAUGUUGCUAUGGUAUCUGCGGUGGUUGCUAAGGUGUUGCUAGGUGUAUCUAACUGGUCGCUAGGCAGUUGCUACCAUUUCUAAAGUGGUUGCUAAGCAGUUGCUAGGCAGUUGCUAACGUUUUCCAGGUGGUUGCUAAGGUGUUGCUAUCUGGUUGCUAGGCAGUUGCUAACGUAUUACACAUGGUUGCUAAGUGGUUGCUAGGCAGUUGCUAAUGUUUUCCAGGUGGUUGCUAAGGUGUAUCUAACUGGUUGCUAGGCAGUAGUAGAUAAAAAGAAAGAGUGUUAAAUGUAGAAGUACAGAAAAAGGGAGAGCCUGAAAUAGAGAAGUAGAGAGAAAAUCAGCGUGAGAAGUAGAGAAAGAACAUCCGAGAAUGUGAGAAAAAGAGUGACAAGUAGAGAGAAAUAUUGAGCAAGAGAAAGAGAAUUAGGGAAAAAGAGAGAUCGAGAAAUAAAGAAGUAGAGAAAGAAAGAGGAUGUAGUAGAGAGAUAGA